GUCAUGACCAGCAACUGCCUGCAUAAUGAAACUUGUUCCAGAGGGCAAGGUGCAAGAGGAAGCAAAAGGUUCACUGGAGAGGGAAGGAGAACUGAUAAAAUGAGGUUAGGUUCUAGGGUGAAUGGCACAAUCUGCAUCGCUGAUCUUACAAUUGGAGGAAUAGGUUAUGUACCCAAGGCUAUCCAGUCAACUAAAUAUAAUGCCCAUAGAAACUGCACCUACAGCUCUU
This 229-nucleotide unclassified non-coding RNA is filed under the name Hevea brasiliensis (rubber tree). Lineage: Eukaryota; Viridiplantae; Streptophyta; Magnoliopsida; Malpighiales; Euphorbiaceae. The record is from RNAcentral.